RNAcentral lists this ribosomal RNA (461 nucleotides) under uncultured bacterium. Its description in RNAcentral is "partial 16S ribosomal RNA". It matches the Rfam family "Bacterial small subunit ribosomal RNA", at positions 338 to 795 of the family's 1533-position model. The record is from RNAcentral.
CCUACGGGGAGCAGCAGUGAGGAAUAUUGGUCAAUGGGCGGAAGCCUGAACCAGCCAAGUCGCGUGAGGGAAUAAGGCCCUACGGGUCGUAAACCUCUUUUGCCGGGGAGCAAGGGCGGGGACGUGUCCCGGCCCGGAGAGUACCCGGAGAAAAAGCAUCGGCUAACUCCGUGCCAGCAGCCGCGGUAAUACGUAGGGUGCAAGCGUUAUCCGGAUUUAUUGGGCGUAAAGGGCUCGUAGGCGGUUCGUCGCGUCCGGUGUGAAAGUCCAUCGCUUAACGGUGGAUCCGCGCCGGGUACGGGCGGGCUUGAGUGCGGUAGGGGAGACUGGAAUUCCCGGUGUAACGGUGGAAUGUGUAGAUAUCGGGAAGAACACCAAUGGCGAAGGCAGGUCUCUGGGCCGUUACUGACGCUGAGGAGCGAAAGCGUGGGGAGCGAACAGGAUUAGAUACCCGGGUAGUC